Cinara cedri is the source of this 245-nucleotide non-coding RNA. The record is from the annotation of a GenBank genome assembly. NCBI's taxonomy places the organism in Eukaryota, Metazoa, Arthropoda, Insecta, Hemiptera, Aphididae.
AAUUAUAAUACCGUCUUUGUCGUGUACACGGUAAAUCUGUUCACCCGUCCGAUCCAAAUGUUUUACCACGGCCGACCCAUCGAGUCUACUUCCUGACGCAUAGCGCUCGUCCUUGACACAUGCAUUCGCGCAGUAGAAAACGUUCGUUCCGCAGACGACGGAAUGAUGACCGGAAACGCUGUUGUCAACACCGGGACCGUAUAAACAGUGUACGGCCGUAUAAACCCGGGUGAUCGGGGGAAGGG